RNAcentral lists this ribosomal RNA (437 nucleotides) under uncultured bacterium. RNAcentral's name for it is "partial 16S ribosomal RNA". The stretch from base 235 to 437 matches the Rfam family "Bacterial small subunit ribosomal RNA", at positions 1 to 686 of the family's 1533-position model. The record is from RNAcentral.
GGACUACUCGGGUUUCUAAUCCUGUUUGCUCCCCACGCUUUCGUGCCUCAGCGUCAGUAUCGGGCCAGUGAGCCGCCUUCGCCACUGGUGUUCUUGCGAAUAUCUACGAAUUUCACCUCUACACUCGCAGUUCCACUCACCUCUCCCGAACUCAAGAUCUUCAGUAUCAAAGGCAGUUCUGGAGUUGAGCUCCAGGAUUACACCCCUGACUUAAAGACCCGCCUACGCACCCUUUACGCCCAGUGAUUCCGAGCAACGCUAGCCGCCGCGGUAAGACGUAGGGGGCCAGCGUUGCUCGGAAUUACUGGGUGUAAAGGGUUCGUAGGCGGUGUAGCAAGUCGGGAGUGAAAUCUCUGGGCUCAACCCAGGGGCUGCUUCCGAAACUGCUGUGCUAGAGUGUGGGAGAAGCGCGUGGAAUUGCAGGUGUAGCGGUGAAA